UACGUAGGGUGCAAGCGUUAAUCGGAAUUACUGGGCGUAAAGCGUGCGCAGGCGGUUGUGCAAGACAGAUGUGAAAUCCCCGGGCUCAACCUGGGAACUGCAUUUGUGACUGCACAGCUUGAGUGCGGCAGAGGGGGAUGGAAUUCCGCGUGUAGCAGUGAAAUGCGUAGAUAUGCGGAGGAACACCGAUGGCGAAGGCAAUCCCCUGGGCCUGCACUGACGCCCAUGCACGAAAGCGUGGGGAGCAAACAGG
RNAcentral lists this ribosomal RNA (253 nucleotides) under uncultured bacterium. Its description in RNAcentral is "partial 16S ribosomal RNA". It matches the Rfam family "Bacterial small subunit ribosomal RNA", at positions 524 to 776 of the family's 1533-position model. The record is from RNAcentral.